CUGCGAGCUAGACCGGGAGGACAGCCGUCUCUUGUAACCAUAAACCGGCUUCAUGAUGGGGUCGAAGCCUUGGGAAAGGUAAAGGCUGUCGUGGCAGUCUUGGCAAGUACUAUGAGACUUUGUCCCACAGGAUUUUUGCUCGCGGGAAACGUGUCAGGCCAGGAAUGGAGCAGCACUAACUGCAUGCAGGAAUGCUUGAGGGGUAGCGGAGUUGAGGAGGUGUCAGGGUUAACUGGCGCGGUGGUUAUUUAUCGAUUCCUCGGCGCGCUCGCGC
RNAcentral lists this signal recognition particle RNA (274 nucleotides) under Candidatus Woesearchaeota archaeon. RNAcentral describes it as "signal recognition particle sRNA". It matches the Rfam family "Archaeal signal recognition particle RNA". The record is from RNAcentral. Lineage: Archaea; Nanobdellati; Candidatus Woesearchaeota.